CUUCGUUGUUUUCUUUCUUUUUAGGUGAAGCUUCUUCCAGUCAGUUCCCUGAUGAUCGCCUCCAAUUUAAUUUCCAUUAUCACCGAAGCCAUGGGCCCAUGAUAGCCGGUGACACUUCUGUGCUGGCCUCAGUUCUUUGCAGAAAGGAAGAGGAUUUAUGAGUUCGGAAGAUAGCUUCAGAGGGAACACCUCACAGCUCAGUUGAACCCAGCGAUACUUGGAGAAAGGAGCAGUCAGCACGGAGAGAAUGACAAGAUGUGCAGGCAGUGGAGCCAGGACAUCCCCCGGUCCACAGAAAGACUGGAAAG
Molecule: long non-coding RNA, 308 nt
Organism: Heterocephalus glaber (naked mole-rat)
Lineage: Eukaryota; Metazoa; Chordata; Mammalia; Rodentia; Bathyergidae
Source: Ensembl